RNAcentral lists this ribosomal RNA (769 nucleotides) under uncultured bacterium. RNAcentral's name for it is "bacterial SSU rRNA". It matches the Rfam family "Bacterial small subunit ribosomal RNA", at positions 615 to 1384 of the family's 1533-position model. The record is from RNAcentral.
CNUUGUAGGCUUUGGAAACUGUUUAACUUGAGUGCAGAAGGGGAGAGUGGAAUUCCAUGUGUAGCGGUGAAAUGCGUAGAUAUAUGGAGGAACACCGGUGGCGAAAGCGGCUCUCUGGUCUGUAACUGACGCUGAGGCUCGAAAGCGUGGGGAGCGAACAGGAUUAGAUACCCUGGUAGUCCACGCCGUAAACGAUGAGUGCUAGGUGUUAGGUCCUUUCCGGGACUUAGUGCCGCAGCUAACGCAUUAAGCACUCCGCCUGGGGAGUACGACCGCAAGGUUGAAACUCAAAGGAAUUGACGGGGGCCCGCACAAGCGGUGGAGCAUGUGGUUUAAUUCGAAGCAACGCGAAGAACCUUACCAGGUCUUGACAUCCCGAUGCCCGCUCUAGAGAUAGAGCUUUACUUCGGUACAUCGGUGACAGGUGGUGCAUGGUUGUCGUCAGCUCGUGUCGUGAGAUGUUGGGUUNNNNNNCGCAACGAGCGCAACCCUUAUUGUUAGUUGCCAUCAUUCAGUUGGGCACUCUAGCGAGACUGCCGGUAAUAAACCGGAGGAAGGUGGGGAUGACGUCAAAUCAUCAUGCCCCUUAUGACCUGGGCUACACACGUGCUACAAUGGCUGGUACAACGAGUCGCAAGCCGGUGACGGCAAGCUAAUCUCUGAAAGCCAGUCUCAGUUCGGAUUGUAGGCUGCAACUCGCCUACAUGAAGUCGGAAUCGCUAGUAAUCGCGGAUCAGCACGCCGCGGUGAAUACGUUCCCGGGCCUNGU